GAGUUUGAUCGUGGCUCAGAGUGAACGCUGGCGGCAGGCCUAACACAUGCAAGUCGAGCGGCAGCACGGGUAGCAAUACCUGGUGGCGAGCGGCGGACGGGUGAGGAAUACAUCGGAAUCUGCCUUGUCGUGGGGGAUAACGUAGGGAAACUUACGCUAAUACCGCAUACGACCGAGAGGUGAAAGCGGGGGAUCGCAAGACCUCGCGCGACAAGAUGAGCCGAUGUCGGAUUAGCUAGUUGGCGGGGUAAGAGCCCACCAAGGCGACGAUCCGUAGCUGGUCUGAGAGGAUGAUCAGCCACACUGGAACUGAGACACGGUCCAGACUCCUACGGGAGGCAGCAGUGGGGAAUAUUGGACAAUGGGCGCAAGCCUGAUCCAGCCAUGCCGCGUGGGUGAAGAAGGCC
Molecule: ribosomal RNA, 407 nt
Filed under: uncultured Gammaproteobacteria bacterium
Lineage: Bacteria; Pseudomonadati; Pseudomonadota; Gammaproteobacteria
Description: bacterial SSU rRNA
Rfam family: Bacterial small subunit ribosomal RNA
Source: RNAcentral